GGAGAGAUGUCCGAGUGGUUGAAGGAGCACGAUUGGAAAUCGUGUAGGCGCUUAUACCGCCUCGAGGGUUCGAAUCCCUCUCUCUCCGCCA
This 91-nucleotide transfer RNA is filed under the name Planctomycetaceae bacterium. RNAcentral's name for it is "tRNA-Ser". It matches the Rfam family "tRNA". From Rfam's summary of the family: Transfer RNA (tRNA) molecules are approximately 80 nucleotides in length. Lineage: Bacteria; Pseudomonadati; Planctomycetota; Planctomycetia; Planctomycetales; Planctomycetaceae. RNAcentral also lists the same sequence under 1 other name. The record is from RNAcentral.